GACGAACGCUGGCGGCGUGCCUAAUACAUGCAAGUCGAACGCUGAGGGAGGAGCUUGCUUCUCUGGAUGAGUUGCGAACGGGUGAGUAACGCGUGGGUAACCUGCCUGGUAGCGGGGGAUAACUAUUGGAAACGAUAGCUAAUACCGCAUAGUAGCAGUUGCUGCAUGACAAGUGUUUGAAAGGUGCAGUGGCACCACUACCAGAUGGACCUGCGUUGGAUUAGCUAGUUGGUGGGGUAACGGCUCUCCAAGGCGGCGAUACAUAGUCGACCGGUGAGGAGGAGCGGCCGCACUGGGAGUGAGACACGGCCCAGAGGGACAGGGGUGGGGGCAGGAGGGAAUCUGGGGCAAUGGACGGAAGUCUGACCGAGAAAGGCCGCAGGAGGGAAGAAGAUCUCCGGGUCGGAAAGCUCUGUUGUCAGGGAAGAAAGCGUGUGAGCGUGGAAAGUACACUCUGUGACGGUAUCGGACCAGGAAGCAACGGCUAACUACGUG
This 495-nucleotide ribosomal RNA is filed under the name uncultured bacterium. Its description in RNAcentral is "partial 16S ribosomal RNA". It matches the Rfam family "Bacterial small subunit ribosomal RNA", at positions 28 to 507 of the family's 1533-position model. The record is from RNAcentral.